UCUCAUCUGUUUUGUCAUAUCUGAGUGGAGGAUUAAAUAAUCCUCGGAGAAUAAAAUAUAGCAGCCAAAUGAAACAAUUUGCUUCCACAUUACAUUUUUAUUCACCCAAAGCUUAUAAUUAUAUAAGAAAUAAAUUCUGUAUGCCUGCAGAAUCUACAUUGAGAUCUUGGAGCCAGCAAAUAGAAAUAAGGCCAGGUUUUUUAGAUUCUUCCUUCAAAAGGAUUAAAACAUUUCAAUCAAAUUCGCAUGUACAAUUAUUUACUAUUUUAAGCCUUGAUGAAAUGUCUAUUCGGCGACAUAUUCAUUAGGAUAAAAAAGUGUUUCAUGGAUAUAUAGAUUUUGAUAAUGGAAUAAAACCUUCCGAAUCUCUACCUGAGGCAAGCAAAGCUUUAUUUCUUAUGGCAACAUGUUUAAAUGGUACAUGGAAAAUUCCUUUAGGAUAUUUUUUAGUAGCUUAUCUCAGUGCUGAGAUCUUAUCAAACAUAGUAACUAAUGCACUCCAUUUAUUACAUUAUACUGGGGUCAUCUGUAAGGCAAUGGUAUGUGAUGGCCUUUCAACUAAUAUCAAAAUGUGUCAAAUACUUGGCGCCUCUUUGAAUCCAAAUAAUUGUGUUCCAUAUUUUAGUCAUCCUAGUAAUUGUGAAGAAAAAGUGUAUGUUAUAUUGGAUGUAUGCCAUAUGAUGAAGCUACUUAGAAAUCUGCUCGGUGAUAAAAAAUUUUUAAUCAAUAAUAAUAAUGGAACUAUAAUAAAUUGUAAAUAUAUAAAAAAUCUUCACAAUUUACAGGAUAAAGAAAGACUAAGGGCUGCUAAUAAAAUUGGCCGUUCUCAUCUUGAGUAUCAUAAGCAGAAAAUGAAAAUUAAACUUGCCGUUCAAGUUUUUAGUAGCUCAGUGGCUAAAGGAAUUAUUUUAGCACAAGAGCUAGGAAUUGAGGGGUUUGAAAACUGUGAAGGCACAGUAGACUUUAUUCAAAUAAUUGAUCAGUAUUAAAUAAAUAUCUUAAUAAUAUUUUUAUAGAAUGUUUGAUUUUUUAAAUACUCGAAAUAUUUGUGCUAAAGGGUUUAAGGCUCCAUUAUCAAAAAGAUCCCUUCCCUAUUAUAAGGAUUUUUUUGAAAAAUGUAUUAAUACCCUUAAAGCUCUAAAAUUUGAAGAUGGAAGAUAUGAAGGUGAAUCAAAUAGAAAAACCUGCAUCAUGGGGUUAAUAACAUCAAUGAAAAGUAUUCUGGGUAUUGGGAAUGAAUUAUUAUUAGGACCUAUUCCCAAACUCAAAUACGUUUUAACCUACAAAACCUCCCAAGAUCAUCUUGAACUAUUUUUUAGUUGUUUACGCAGCAGAGGAGGGUUUAACAAUAAUCCAUCCGCUUAUCAAUUACGAUCUGCCGUUAGAGCUGUCUUGAUAGGAAAAAUGGAAGCAUUAACAACAGGUAAUUGUAUUCCAAUUGACAAUACUAACCUUAUUUGUGGAGAUUAUCAAAAAAAUGAUAAUGAUGAUGACCAUAUAUAUCCUUUAGAUAUAUCAUUUAUAGAUGUGCCAAAUAUCCCAAAAUUAUCACUCUACCUUGAUAAUGUUGCAACAUAUAUAUCUGGUUAUAUAAUACGUAAACUUAUAUCUGAAAAAAAGGUAAAAUGUUAUAAUUGUAUAUCUGCUAUGAUCGAUAAAACUUGUGAAGAUAAUGAGAGCACAAUUUAAUUAAAAUAAAAAACAAUCAAGGAUUAAUAAUCCCUUCAAAGAGCAUAUCUAAAUUAUGUCAACUAGCAGAAAGUGCAUUUCGUAUUUUUGAAAAGAAUAAUCAAAUAAAAAAGUCAUUUAUAUUUAAAUGCAUAGUAUCAUUUGUUAUUUCUAAAGCAAUGGAAACAAACAUUUUUGAUGAUCUGGUAGAUCAUAUGCUAAAUCAGGAGGCUACAUUCAGUCAUUAUCAAAUAUUAAUUACAUUAAUAGUGGAACGCUAUAUAAACAUAAGGUUAUAUCAUUAUGCAGAUAAACAUAACAAAAAUUCAAAUAUCAAUAUUCGGCAGAAAUUGACGAAAACCAUUCUAUUCGCAGGACAAUAAAUAUAUUGGCACAUGAUCUUUUUUAAUUUAUAUUAUGACUGUAUAUAUUUAAAUAUGGAUGCUAUAUAUUAAUGAAUUUUGUAAUUUAUCGUACAUUAUAUAUAUUUUCUAAUUUAUAAUAAAAUAUGGAUGCUAUAUUAAUGAAUUUCGUAA
Gordionus sp. m RMFG-2023 is the source of this 2204-nucleotide long non-coding RNA. RefSeq lists it as uncharacterized. The record is from RefSeq and is a predicted model, not a curated record. Lineage: Eukaryota; Metazoa; Nematomorpha; Gordioida; Chordodea; Parachordodidae. The transcript is spliced from 5 exons.